This is a long non-coding RNA of Rhinichthys klamathensis goyatoka, 774 nucleotides long. RefSeq lists it as uncharacterized. NCBI's taxonomy places the organism in Eukaryota, Metazoa, Chordata, Actinopteri, Cypriniformes, Leuciscidae. The record is from RefSeq and is a predicted model, not a curated record. The transcript is spliced from 2 exons.
AUAAUAACAUUUAUUUGAGUGUACAAUUUUUAAUAAUUCUUUUUCAACCUCAUUUCAAAGGUUUCAAGUCUCGAUGCAAAGCAACCCUGGUUGAACGAAGGAUAAAAACCGGAAGAUAUUUUAAUUGCUCUAUAACACCGUUAAAAACAGUGUGACUAACCGGAGCCCCUCUUUGAAUUAGUACAGCAUCACAGUGCGUUAUUAAUAAAACAUUGAGAACGUACGAACCGUCCGAUUCAGGUGUGUUCGUUUUUUGUUUUUUUAAAUGGCACACAUGAACAUUAUAUUUCAACAUGAACCGUAUCUGACCAACAGGAAAAAAAAAAAAACAUGCCUUUGAGAUUUGUUGUAAUGCCAGUAAAAUGCAAACAGGAUAUUUUAUAAUAACUGUAGUGUUUCUCACAUCUAAUGUUAAGGAGAGUCCUGACAUAGUAGCUAUAGCACACAAUGUGUAAACAUAUCCGCCGUAUUGCGCUGUAUCCCCACAAUUAAUGUUUUUCACUUUUUUUUUUUAAUCGUGCAAAAAUAUAAACCGACUCAAACUCUGAGCAAAUUUACAAAUAAGCAACAGGGCUAAAUAUGCUUCUUUUUUUUUUUUUUGUUAAGAAAAUAAUAGUGCUAAACUACGUUCUGAAUAAGAAAAGGUAAGGUACAUAAGAGAGAAGUAUGAAAAUAGUGUUCUUGCUUCACAAUAUCAACAUUAAAGUCUCGCUCAUCUUGUUCCUUAGAGUCGACCUCCCUUUCAAUGAAUAAAGAAGAAAAAACCCAAAAUAA